RNAcentral lists this long non-coding RNA (717 nucleotides) under Olea europaea (common olive). RNAcentral's name for it is "long non-coding RNA (OEUR_LNC007462)". Lineage: Eukaryota; Viridiplantae; Streptophyta; Magnoliopsida; Lamiales; Oleaceae. The record is from RNAcentral.
UUUUUCUCUCUAUAUUUCUAUAUCUACUGAACCUUAAAUCAAAUAUUUCAUUUUCUCUCACGACCUCUAUGCCUAUUGUCACUAGAAGAUGGCCACCAGAAGAUCACGGUUGAGCAGCACCACUGUGCCCACUGUUGCUGGAGGUUGUGGUGACAACAAAAACUCAAAGAGAUCGAGUCGCUAUUGUAUGGAAGAUGGUGGUCCAACGAUUGUAGUCGGCGAUUUGGUGGAUAUCUGGGGUGAAUGUGGUGGUGGUGGUGGUUUUGAAUUUAGAUGUGAUGUAAAUGUGGUGGCGAUGGUGGAAAUCGACUCAUGACUAUGGGAAGAUGGUGGUCUGAUGGCUACAGUCAAUGAUUUGGUGUAGCAGCGGUGAAUGUGUUGUUAAAGAUUGUGGAGGUUGUGGAUUAGGGCAUUUGUUCAAAAUUUGUUGCAUCGCUGUGGUCGAAGUUGGUGUCGCGCCGCUAUGGGUGGAGGUGCUGGUGGUGCGGUGGGUGAAGAUGGGGUGUUGCGUAGAGAUGGUUUUGAGGUUUAUGAUGUGGUUUUUUCUCUAAUCCGGGUAUGAUGGUGAUGGGUUGCCUUGGUGCUAGGUGGUGUUGGAGGUUUUGUGAUGAUUUUUGUCAAUAGUGCAGGUGGAGGUGCUGCCUGGCGCAAUGGAUUUAGCUGUGGUGGUCGUGGUCGCAAGUGUUGGCAACAAAUAAUUUGGUCAAUUGUAACAAU